UGGCGAGCGACGAUAUUAAAAUCUUCCACAAUGGACGAAAGUCUGAUGGAGCAACGCCGCGUGAGUGAUGAAGGGUUUCGGCUCGUAAAACUCUGUUGUUAAAGAAGAACAAGUGUUAGAGUAACUGUUAACACUUUGACGGUAUUUAACCAGAAAGCCACGGCUAACUACGUGCCAGCAGCCGCGGUAAUACGUAGGUGGCAAGCGUUGUCCGGAUUUAUUGGGCGUAAAGCGAGCGCAGGCGGUUUUGUAAGUCUGCUGUGAAAGCCCUCAGCUCAACUGAGGAAGUGCAGUGGAAACUACAAAACUUGAGUACAGAAGAGGAAAGUGGAACUCCAUGUGUAGCGGUGAAAUGCGUAGAUAUAUGGAAGAACACCAGUGGCGAAGGCGGCUUUCUGGUCUGUUACUGACGCUGAGGCUCGAAAGCAUGGGUAGCGAACAGGAUUAGAUACCCUGGUAGUCCAUGCCGUAAACGAUGAAUACUAGGUGUUGGAGGGUUUCCGCCCUUCAGUGCCGCAGCUAACGCAUUAAGUAUUCCGCCUGGGGAGUACGACCGCAAGGUUGAAACUCAAAGGAAUUGACGGGGGCCCGCACAAGUGGUGGAGCAUGUGGUUUAAUUCGAUGCUACGCGAAGAACCUUACCAGCUCUUGACAUCUUCUGCCAACCCAAGAGAUUGGGCGUUCCCUUCGGGGACAGAAUGACAGGUGGUGCAUGGUGUCGUCAGCCUCGUUCGA
Molecule: ribosomal RNA, 735 nt
Filed under: Apilactobacillus kunkeei
Lineage: Bacteria; Bacillati; Bacillota; Bacilli; Lactobacillales; Lactobacillaceae
Description: bacterial SSU rRNA
Rfam family: Bacterial small subunit ribosomal RNA
Source: RNAcentral